Molecule: long non-coding RNA, 281 nt
Filed under: Bos indicus x Bos taurus (hybrid cattle)
Lineage: Eukaryota; Metazoa; Chordata; Mammalia; Artiodactyla; Bovidae
Description: lncRNA (ENSBIXG00005006610.1)
Source: RNAcentral
AUGAUAAGGCCUUUUUACAUAUUUGUCCACAUGCUUAAAUGCCUGUUUUCUGGCUCCAUAAUCCAUUUACUGAAGGAAGUGAAGGUGACCAGCUUUGGAGCCGCCCCUCCCAGAAGGGCUUCAACUGUCAGGAGCAGAAGCUUGGACUCUGUGAGAGACUUGCUCUGUGGAGAGCUUCAAGAGGUGCCACGGGAGCUGCUGCCUGGAGCUGCCUUACCAGGAGGAAGGUAAGUCUUCCGGGCUGGGAGCAGCCCUGUUCCUCUGUCCUUUCAAGGCUGGAC